UCAGCCAGGGAAAGCAUGAAGAUAACAUCGUUACAUUUACGAGUUAACCUGAAGAGUUUAACCUAGAGCACCACUCAGCCGGGAUGGACUUGGGGUCUCCUGACAUACGCAGAGUGGGGACACAGUAUGCUGCCAAAGCUUAACUCCUGCACUGAUCCCUUACCAACGCCACAACAGAGUUCAUUCACUGUAACACCGCCUGAAAGAUGAGAAGCAAUAGCAGUUAUUAUAUUCAAAAUUUAUGCCAAGGGUCCGGCCAGGCCAGGUGGGUGCUGGUGACUCUGCGACGAAGAAAAUUUGGGUCAUGAGGUGCAAAGUAACGUCGGUGAUUU
Long non-coding RNA from Homarus americanus (American lobster), 332 nucleotides. RefSeq lists it as uncharacterized. The record is from RefSeq and is a predicted model, not a curated record. Lineage: Eukaryota; Metazoa; Arthropoda; Malacostraca; Decapoda; Nephropidae. The transcript is spliced from 3 exons.